UCCUGCCUCUGAUUCUUGCAGCUCUCAGUGAGUCGGAGAGGCGGAUGGAUGGACAGAUGGGAGGGAGGGAGAGAGGGAGGGAGGGAGAGGGAAGGAGAGAGAGGGAGGGAGAGGGAAGGAGAGAGAGGGAGGGAGGGAGAGAGAGGGAAGGAGAGAGAGGGAGGGAUAGAGGGAAGGAGAGAGAGGGAGGGAGGGAGAGAGAGGGAAGGAGAGAGAGGGAGGGAGAGAGGGAAGGAGAGAGAGGGAGGGAGGGAGAGAGAGAGAGAGGGAGGGAGAGAGACAGAGAGAGGGGAGAGGGAGGGAGAGAGAGAGGGAAGGAGAGAGAGGGAGGGAGAGGGAAGGAGAGAGAGGGAGGGAGGGAGAGAGAGGGAAGGAGAGAGAGGGAGGGAGAGAGACAGAGAGAGGGGAGAGAGAGGGAAGGAGAGAGAGGGAGGGAGAGGGAAGGAGAGAGAGGGAGGGAGGGAGAGAGAGGGAAGGAGAGAGAGGGAGGGAGGGAGAGAGAGAGAGAGGGAGGGAGGGGGAGGGAGGGAGAGAGAGGGAGGGAGGGAGAGAGAGAGGGAGGGAGAGGGAGGGAGGAGAGAGAGAGGGAGGGGGAGGGAGAGGGGGAGGGAGAGGGAGAGAGAGGGAAGGAGAGAGAGGGAGGGAGGGAGGGAGAGAGAGAGGGAGAGAGGGAAGGGGAGGGAGGGAGAGAGAGGGAGGGAGAGAGAGAGAGAGAAGGGGAGAGAGAGAGGGAGAGAGAGAGAGAGAGGGAAGGAGAGAGAGGGAGGGAGGGAGAGAGAGAGGGAGGGAGGAGAGAGAGAGAGAGAAGGGGAGAGAGAGAGGGAGAGAGGGAAGGAGAGAGAGGGAGGGAGGGAGAGAGAGAGGGGCACGGAGAGAGAGGGAGAGGUUGCAGUUUCCCAGAAUCCCAUGCUGCGUGCUGCAACUUUCAGCAGAGGUUAAGGCGUUCUGUCUUGGGGCAGGUCCCUCCCCACCCUCCCUCUGUCCCACCGUCCCUCCACAUUGUUCCACCGUCCCUCCC
RNAcentral lists this long non-coding RNA (1018 nucleotides) under Takifugu rubripes (torafugu). RNAcentral describes it as "lncRNA (ENSTRUG00000030964.1)". The record is from RNAcentral. Lineage: Eukaryota; Metazoa; Chordata; Actinopteri; Tetraodontiformes; Tetraodontidae.